CUGGGGUGAGUUCAGGGUCUGGUAACAUCUGGUGGUGAGUUCAGGGGUCUGGUAACAUCUGGUGGUGAGUUCAGGGUCUGGUUAAUAACUGUGGUGAGUUCAGGGUCUGGUAACAUCUGUGGUGAGUUCAGGGUCUGGUUAAUAACUGUGGUGAGUUCAGGGUCUGGUUAAUAACUGUGGUGAGUUCAGGGUCUGGUAACAUCUGGUGGUGAGUUCAGGGUCUGGUUAAUAACUGUGGUGCGUUCAGGGUCUGGUUAAUAUCUGUGGUGAGUUCAGGGUCUGGUUAAUAACUGGUGGUGAGUUCAGGGUCUGGUUAAUAACUGUGGUGAGUUCAGGGUCUGGUUAAUAACUGAUGGUGAGUUCAGGGUCUGGUUAAUAACUGUGGUGCGUUCAGGGUCUGGUUAAUAUCUGUGGUGAGUUCAGGGUCUGGUGCAGCCGUCCGUUAAUAGCUGACGAUGUGUGAAUCAGCUUGUUUUCUUUGCACAUUAAGAGGAAAUAGUGAGUUUCAUAUUUCCAGGAACUACCAGCAGGAUGUAGAACCGGUGGGACGAGCUCAGCCGUUCACGCUGAGCACAAAGUUGAUUUAAAUUCGACAGUUUAGUAAAAACAGACACACCUGAACAGGUUUCAACUGUUGGUUUAUGAAA
Molecule: long non-coding RNA, 647 nt
Organism: Scomber japonicus (chub mackerel)
Lineage: Eukaryota; Metazoa; Chordata; Actinopteri; Scombriformes; Scombridae
Exons: 3
Source: RefSeq, a predicted model, not a curated record